Molecule: ribosomal RNA, 458 nt
Filed under: uncultured bacterium
Lineage: Bacteria
Description: SSU rRNA
Rfam family: Bacterial small subunit ribosomal RNA
Source: RNAcentral
AGAAUCAACGCUGGCGGCGUGCCUAACACAUGCAAGUCGAACGAGAAAGUGGAGCAAUCCAUGAGUAAAGUGGCGCACGGGUGAGUAACACGUGACUAACCUACCCUUGAGUGGGGAAUAACCUAGGGAAACCUGGGCUAAUACCGCAUAACACCUACGGGUCAAAGGAGCAAUUCGCUUAAGGAGGGGUCGCGGCAGAUUAGCUAGUUGGCGGGUAAUGGCCCACCAAGGCAGUGAUCUGUAUCCGGCCUGAGAGGGCGCACGGACACACUGGAACUGAAACACGGUCCAGACUCCUACGGGAGGCAGCAGUGGGGAAUUUUGCGCAAUGGGGGAAACCCUGACGCAGCAACGCCGCGUGGAGGAUGAAGUCCCUUGGGACGUAAACUCCUUUCGACCGGGAAGAUUAUGACGGUACCGGAAGAAGAAGCCCCGGCUAACUUCGUGCCAGCAGCCGC